This 513-nucleotide ribosomal RNA is filed under the name uncultured bacterium. RNAcentral's name for it is "partial 16S ribosomal RNA". It matches the Rfam family "Bacterial small subunit ribosomal RNA", at positions 28 to 523 of the family's 1533-position model. The record is from RNAcentral.
GAUGAACGCUGGCGGCGUGCCUAAUACAUGCAAGUCGAGCGAACAGACGAGGAGCUUGCUCCUCUGACGUUAGCGGCGGACGGGUGAGUAACACGUGGAUAACCUACCUAUAAGACUGGGAUAACUUCGGGAAACCGGAGCUAAUACCGGAUAAUAUAUUGAACCGCAUGGUUCAAUAGUGAAAGACGGUUUUGCUGUCACUUAUAGAUGGAUCCGCGCCGCAUUAGCUAGUUGGUAAGGUAACGGCUUACCAACGCAACGAUGCGUAGCCGACCAGAGGGGGUGAUCGGCCACACUGGAACUGAGACGCGGGCCAGACUCCUACGGGAGGCAGCAGUAGGGAAUCUUCCGCAAUGGGCGAAAGCCUGACGGAGCAACGCCGCGUGAGUGAUGAAGGUCUUCGGAUCGUAAAACUCUGUUAUUAGGGAAGAACAAAUGUGUAAGUAACUAUGCACGUCUUGACGGUACCUAAUCAGAAAGCCACGGCUAACUACGUGCCAGCCGCCGCAGUAA